GAUGAACGCUGGCGGCGUGCCUAAUACAUGCAAGUCGAGCGAACAGACGGGGAGCUUGCUCCUCUGACGUUAGCGGCGGACGGGUGAGUAACACGUGGAUAACCUACCUAUAAGACUGGGAUAACUUCGGGAAACCGGAGCUAAUACCGGAUAAUAUAUUGAACCGCAUGGUUCAAUAGUGAAAGACGGUUUUGCUGUCACUUAUAGAUGGAUCCGCGCCGCAUUAGCUAGUUGGUAAGGUAACGGCUUACCAAGGCAACGAUGCGUAGCCGACCUGAGAGGGUGAUCGGCCACACUGGAACUGAGACACGGUCCAGACUCCUACGGGAGGCAGCAGUAGGGAAUCUUCCGCAAUGGGCGAAAGCCUGACGGAGCAACGCCGCGUGAGUGAUGAAGGUCUUCGGGUCGUAAAACUCUGUUAUUAGGGAAGAACAAAUGUGUAAGUAACUAUGCACGUCUUGACGGUACCUAAUCAGAAAGCCACGGCUAACUACGUG
This 497-nucleotide ribosomal RNA is filed under the name uncultured bacterium. RNAcentral describes it as "partial 16S ribosomal RNA". It matches the Rfam family "Bacterial small subunit ribosomal RNA", at positions 28 to 507 of the family's 1533-position model. The record is from RNAcentral.